GACGAACGCUGGCGGCGUGCUUAACACAUGCAAGUCGAACGGAAAGGCCCUGCUUUUGUGGGGUGCUCGAGUGGCGAACGGGUGAGUAACACGUGAGCAACCUGCCCUUGACUUUGGGAUAACUUCAGGAAACUGGGGCUAAUACCGGAUAGGAGCUCCUGCUGCAUGGUGGGGGUUGGAAAGUUUCGGCGGUUGGGGAUGGACUCGCGGCUUAUCAGCUUGUUGGUGGGGUAGUGGCUUACCAAGGCUUUGACGGGUAGCCGGCCUGAGAGGGUGACCGGCCACAUUGGGACUGAGAUACGGCCCAGACUCCUACGGGAGGCAGCAGUGGGGAAUAUUGCACAAUGGGCGGAAGCCUGAUGCAGCAACGCCGCGUGCGGGAUGACGGCCUUCGGGUUGUAAACCGCUUUCGCCUGUGACGAAGCGUGAGUGACGGUAAUGGGUAAAGAAGCACCGGCUAACUACGUGCCAGCAGCCGCGGUGAUACGUAGGGUGCGAGCGUUGUCCGGAUUUAUUGGGCGUAAAGGGCUCGUAGGUGGUUGAUCGCGUCGGAAGUGUAAUCUUGGGGCUUAACCCUGAGCGUGCUUUCGAUACGGGUUGACUUGAAGAAGGUAGGGGAGAAUGGAAUUCCUGGUGGAGCGGUGGAAUGCGCAGAUAUCAGGAGGAACACCAGUGGCGAAGGCGGUUCUCUGGGCCUUUCCUGACGCUGAGGAGCGAAAGCGUGGGGAGCGAACAGGCUUAGAUACCCUGGUAGUCCACGCUGUAAACGGUGGGUACUAGGUGUGGGGUCCAUUCCACGGGUUCCGUGCCGUAGCUAACGCUUUAAGUACCCCGCCUGGGGAGUACGGCCGCAAGGCUAAAACUCAAAGGAAUUGACGAGGCCCCGCACAAGCGGCGGAGCAUGCGGAUUAAUUCGAUGCAACGCGUAGAACCUUACCUGGGUUUGACAUGGAUCGGGAGCGCUCAGAGAUGGGUGUGCCUCUUUUGGGGUCGGUUCACAGGUGGUGCAUGGCUGUCGUCAGCUCGUGUCGUGAGAUGUUGGGUUAAGUCCCGCAACGAGCGCAACCCUUGUUCACUGUUGCCAGCACGUUAUGGUGGGGACUCAGUGGAGACCGCCGGGGUCAACUCGGAGGAAGGUGGGGAUGACGUCAAGUCAUCAUGCCCCUUAUGUCCAGGGCUUCACGCAUGCUACAAUGGCUGGUACAGAGAGUGGCGAGCCUGUGAGGGUGAGCGAAUCUCGGAAAGCCGGUCUCAGUUCGGAUUGGGGUCUGCAACUCGACCUCAUGAAGUCGGAGUCGCUAGUAAUCGCAGAUCAGCAACGCUGCGGUGAAUACGUUCCCGGGGCU
RNAcentral lists this ribosomal RNA (1346 nucleotides) under uncultured bacterium. RNAcentral describes it as "bacterial SSU rRNA". It matches the Rfam family "Bacterial small subunit ribosomal RNA", at positions 28 to 1381 of the family's 1533-position model. The record is from RNAcentral.